Molecule: ribosomal RNA, 490 nt
Filed under: uncultured bacterium
Lineage: Bacteria
Description: partial 16S ribosomal RNA
Rfam family: Bacterial small subunit ribosomal RNA
Source: RNAcentral
AUUGAACGCUGGCGGCAGGCCUAACACAUGCAAGUCGAACGGUAGCAGGAAGCAGCUUGCUGCUUUGCUGACGAGUGGCGGACGGGUGAGUAAUGUCUGGGAAACUGCCUGAUGGAGGGGGAUAACUACUGGAAACGGUAGCUAAUACCGCAUAACGUCGCAAGACCAAAGAGGGGGACCUUCGGGCCUCUUGCCAUCGGAUGUGCCCAGAUGGGAUUAGCUAGUAGGUGGGGUAACGGCUCACCUAGGCGACGAUCCCUAGCUGGUCUGAGAGGAUGACCAGCCACACUGGAACUGAGACACGGUCCAGACUCCUACGGGAGGCAGCAGUGGGGAAUAUUGCACAAUGGGCGCAAGCCUGAUGCAGCCAUGCCGCGUGUAUGAAGAAGGCCUUCGGGUUGUAAAGUACUUUCAGCGGGGAGGAAGGGAGUAAAGUUAAUACCUUUGCUCAUUGACGUUACCCGCAGAAGAAGCACCGGCUAACUCCGUG